GUCAGGCCAGCAGGGAGCGCUGGUGAGUAAGUCAUAAUCACAGAAUCUUGGGACGACGUGUCACAGAGGCUUGCUUUGAACAUCAGAAUCUUGGCACUGGGAGGGAAGAGAAAGCAUUUGGCUCAGAAGACUUUGGCUUCUGAUAGUCAUGGAUUCACUAGGCUGCUGAGGGAGGGUCAUAACCUGUUGGAACCAUUUUUCGUGAGAACCUGAGCAUGGAGACUGUGAAUUGAGACGAGACCAAGAGAAGUGACAAGACCAGGUACCCCUUUUCUUUCGGAUCCUCUCUUCAUGACUUGUUCAUUCAUUUAUUCAUUCAUUCCUUACUUAUUCAGGCCCACAUAGUGUCAUACAGUGUGUUAGAUGCUGAAAACAGUGGCCAGCAGGAUAGCAAGGAUGUCUGUGCUCAUGAAACUAACAAACUAGAGGAGAAGUCAGACAAUCAGGGAAAUCAUAAUUAUGACAGAAACAUAAUGAGAGAUACAAGGAGGCCCAAGAAGGUAUAUCAGGGACACCAACCCUAUGGGUUAGGGAAGCUUUUCUGAAGGGAGUGGUGUUCAAGCUGAGAUUUCAAGUUGAGUAACACGUGGUGAGGGUGGGGGAUGGGAACCAGGGAAGGGUGUUCCAGACCAUGGGAAGAGUACCUGCCACGACCCCGACAGAGGCAGCUGGAAUUUAGCAGAGGUCUGCUCUGAGCCAGUCUGACAAUCAUGAAAGGAACAGUGGCUGGAGGUGAGGCCAGGCUGGUGGGCUGUGGUCAAAGACAGGUCAGCCUUGCCAAGACCUUAGGGGUCUUGGAUCCUGCUCUGUAUUGAUCCUCACAGAAACAGAACAGUAAGAAGACCUUAGAAGGUGGCCCUGGCUCUGUCACAAGUGUCAUGACAAGGUCUGGCAGGCAUCCUUGGGGCAGGCUAUGUGGGAGGAGGGGCACAGAGCCGGGAGAAUCUUGACCUAAGGAGGAGAAAUUGCCUUGCGGGAGGCAAGGUGGUCCAGCAGGCAAGUGUACUAGGCAGGAGCCAAGGUUCUGAAGGCAGGUAAAGGAGGAUAAACUACACCUGGAUUAAAGCAGCAGCACCAGUCACGGGAUCUGUUACAAGGGACAUCUGCUAGUUAAAGGGGCACAGAUACCAUUCACCAGGCAGCAAGACAAUGGAGACAGCGAUGACUCAGGAGGCAAGGGACCUGAGCGAACUGUCAUUUCCCUCCCUGUGCCACAGUGCACAAGACUGAUUCCUAACCUACUCUCCAUCUUUGACGUGGCAAGUGCCGCCCCACCCUCCCCGAUUUGGGACCUGUUCCUGGGAUCUGCCCACAGAGGACGUGCUUGG
This 1328-nucleotide long non-coding RNA is filed under the name Equus asinus (donkey). RNAcentral describes it as "lncRNA (ENSEASG00005036358.1)". Lineage: Eukaryota; Metazoa; Chordata; Mammalia; Perissodactyla; Equidae. The record is from RNAcentral.